GGGCGUAAGCGUGCGUAGGCGGUUCGGUCACGUCAGCCGUGAAAGGCCCUGGGCUUAACCCUGGGAAACGGCGGUUGAGACGGCCAAACUCGAGUGGGCUAGAGGAUCGUGGAAUUCCCGGUGUAGCGGUGAAAUGCGUAGAGAUCGGGAGGAACACCGAUGGCGAAAGCAGCGGUCUGGGGCCACACUGACGCUGAGGCACGAAAGCGUGGGGAGCAAACAGGAUUAGAUACCCUGGUAGUCCACGCGGUAAACGAUGAGCACUAGACGUUGGGGCGGGUGACCGCCCGGUGUCGCAGCUAACGCGCUAAGUGCUCCGCCUGGGGAGUACAGCCGCAAGGUUGAAAACUCAAAGGAAUUGACGGGGGCCCGCACAAGCGGUGGAGCAUGUGGUUUAAUUCGAUGCAACGCGAAGAACCUUACCUGGCCUUGACAUCCGGG
RNAcentral lists this ribosomal RNA (441 nucleotides) under uncultured bacterium. RNAcentral's name for it is "bacterial SSU rRNA". It matches the Rfam family "Bacterial small subunit ribosomal RNA", at positions 556 to 992 of the family's 1533-position model. The record is from RNAcentral.